UCGUGCUAGACGGGGAGGUAGCGGUGCCCUGUAGCCCGCAAUCCGCUAGAGCGGGGUCGAAGUCCUGCCCGAGGGUCAAUCUUGUGGGGCCGCCCCGGGUAAGUGGUGAAGACGUUUGGGUCCCGCGCAGCAAGAACCCAUGAACCCCGUCAGGUCCGGGAGGAAGCAGCGGUAAGUGGUGUUUCUUGGGUGCCGCGGGAGCGCCUGAACCGAGCCGGCUGCCCUGGUACCGCCUGGAAGGUUGCAUUCGAAGGCAGGUGCACGA
This 265-nucleotide signal recognition particle RNA is filed under the name Bacillota bacterium. RNAcentral's name for it is "signal recognition particle sRNA large type". It matches the Rfam family "Bacterial large signal recognition particle RNA". From Rfam's summary of the family: The signal recognition particle (SRP) is a universally conserved ribonucleoprotein involved in the co-translational targeting of proteins to membranes. Archaeal SRP consists of a 7S RNA and homologues of the eukaryotic SRP19 and SRP54 proteins. Lineage: Bacteria; Bacillati; Bacillota. The record is from RNAcentral.